Molecule: long non-coding RNA, 1335 nt
Organism: Physeter macrocephalus (sperm whale)
Lineage: Eukaryota; Metazoa; Chordata; Mammalia; Artiodactyla; Physeteridae
Exons: 3
Source: RefSeq, a predicted model, not a curated record
AAAGAAUGCUGCCUUUGCCUUCAUGUCCAACCAGCCAAGAGAUAUAAUGAAGCGGCUUCACCCUUUAAAAAAAAAGUUAAGUAGUUUUCAAGAUUUCUACAAUGAAUUACCUUCGUAAUCAGGCAGAAGAUAAACAAGGCUUUGUUAAUUAACAAGAAAUGCAAAAAACGGGAAAAAUGAUAGAGAAGGCAUGGAUAAAAGAACUAUGAAAAUAGGCAAGCCCCUAAAGAUGGAUCCCUUCUUGCAAGAACGGGUACAGGACUAGGAGUCAGGAGACCCAUGGCUGAAAUCCAGCCCUACUACUAUCUUGCUAUCUGUGUUUAUACGACCUUGAGAAAAUCACUUGCAUUUAACUCAUUCUGAAUCUGUUAUGGUAUGAUGAGUGGGGUAGGCUGAAGUAACUCUAAGAUUCUUCCCAGUGCUUCCCAUUCUUCUAUGAUUCUUUGAAGAGAAAAUCUACAGCCAGGAAGAAUACAACCAAAAAUAAGUUGUCUCUGGGAAGAGUCAGCUUAGAUAAAAUGGAGCCAGCAGCAGAUAAAGAGUGCGACAAAAGUCAUUGGUCAGAGAAAGGGAAGAGGAAAGAGAUUGGCAAUGCGGUGAAGGAGAAGAAGGGAAUAACUAGGCAAUUAGGAGAAAGAAAAAAAUCUGCCAUGAUAAAAAGAGCAAAGAAAGAGAAAUGGUGAAUUAGGAAUGUUUCUGCAAUAUUCACUAUGGGCAAACUGUUAAGUAAGUUAUAGCAUAACCAUGUGAUGGCUCAUUGGGCAGUUAUUACAAAUACAAUAUUAAAUGAAAUAAGCAAGAGAUAGAGUAUAUAUACUUUAUAAUCUCAACUACAUUAAGAAAAUAUACCUACAGAAACUCAAAAGGAAAUCUGCCAAAACCACUUCUCUGGAUGGUAAGAUUUAAGGGUGACUCCCCCACCCAUUUUUUUUUACACUAAAUUUGCCUUCAUUUAACAAAAAUUUUAUAAUGAAGAUAAAAGGAAAUUAUUUCCAAAGUGUUUUCCCAUCCUCUAUUUUUCUCUUUUAAAGGCAAAAAAGAGCAGAAUAUAGAUAAAAACAAAAUAGGAAAGAAACAAAAAACCAAGAACAAAAGGGAACAAGAAGAAAAUAGGGAGAAAGCAUGAAACAGACUCAAGUAGCAUUAAGGUGCCAAACCAAUGAAACUGCUACUAGUUAGUGGCCUGCUAUCUGUCACUAGUUGGAUUUCCACUGUCUACUCCCUUUCCAAUCCAGCUGUACUUUCUGUUGUAUUCUCAUUUUCAAAGAAAAUUGGCAGCCUCAGUUAAGUUUUAGAGAAUGUGCUAAAGUUAUUUCAAAUAGUUUUAAACCUUUG